AUUGAACACUGGCGGCAGGCCUAACACAUGCAAGUCGAGCGGAUGAAGGGAGCUUGCUCCUGGAUUCAGCGGCGGACGGGUGAGUAAUGCCUAGGAAUCUGCCUGGUAGUGGGGGAUAACGUCCGGAAACGGGCGCUAAUACCGCAUACGUCCUGAGGGAGAAAGUGGGGGAUCUUCGGACCUCACGCUAUCAGAUGAGCCUAGGUCGGAUUAGCUAGUUGGUGGGGUAAAGGCCUACCAAGGCGACGAUCCGUAACUGGUCUGAGAGGAUGAUCUGUCACACUGGAACUGAGACACGGUCCAGACUCCUACGGGAGGCAGCAGUGGGGAAUAUUGGACAAUGGGCGAAAGCCUGAUCCAGCCAUGCCGCGUGUGUGAAGAAGGUCUUCGGAUUGUAAAGCACUUUAAGUUGGGAGGAAGGGCAGUAAGUUAAUACCUUGCUGUUUUGACGUUACCAACAGAAUAAGCACCGGCUAACUUCGUG
This 484-nucleotide ribosomal RNA is filed under the name uncultured bacterium. RNAcentral describes it as "partial 16S ribosomal RNA". It matches the Rfam family "Bacterial small subunit ribosomal RNA", at positions 30 to 507 of the family's 1533-position model. The record is from RNAcentral.